RNAcentral lists this ribosomal RNA (195 nucleotides) under uncultured bacterium. RNAcentral describes it as "partial 16S ribosomal RNA". It matches the Rfam family "Bacterial small subunit ribosomal RNA", at positions 135 to 334 of the family's 1533-position model. The record is from RNAcentral.
AGGGGGAGUAACAGUUGGAAACGACUGCUAAUACCCCAUACUCCUUUUACAUUAAUUGUAAUUGGGAAACGUUUUUCGCUAAAGGAUGAGACUAUAUGGUAUCAGGUAGUUGGUGGGGUAAGAGCCCACCAAGCCAAUGACGCCUAGCUGGUCUGAGAGGAUGAUCAGCCACACUGGAACUGAGACACGGUCCAG